GGAUCCAGACUUUGAUUAUGGCUCAGGAUGAACGCUAGCUACAGGCUUAACACAUGCAAGUCGAGGGGAAACGACAUCGAAAGCUCGCUUUUGAUAGGCAUCGACCGGCGCACGGGUGAGUAACGCGUAUCCAACCUGCCCACCACUUGGGGAUAACCUUGCGAAAGUAAGACUAAUACCCAAUGACGUCUCUAGAAGACAUCUGAAAGAGAUUAAAGAUUUAUCGGUGAUGGAUGGGGAUGCGUCUGAUUAGCUUGUUGGCGGGGUAACGGCCCACCAAGGCGACGAUCAGUAGGGGUUCUGAGAGGAAGGUCCCCCACAUUGGAACUGAGACACGGUCCAAACUCCUACGGGAGGCAGCAGUGAGGAAUAUUGGUCAAUGGGCGAGAGCCUGAACCAGCCAAGUAGCGUGCAGGAUGACGGCCCUAUGGGUUGUAAACUGCUUUUAUAAGGGAAUAAAGUGAGUCUCGUGAGACUUUUUGCAUGUACCCUAUGAAUAAGGACCGGCUAAUUCCGUGCCAGCAGCCGCGGUAAUACGGAAGGUCCGGGCGUUAUCCGGAUUUAUUGGGUUUAAAGGGAGCGUAGGCCGGAGAUUAAGCGUGUUGUGAAAUGUAGAUGCUCAACAUCUGAACUGCAGCGCGAACUGGUUUCCUUGAGUACGCACAAAGUGGGCGGAAUUCGUGGUGUAGCGGUGAAAUGCUUAGAUAUCACGAAGAACUCCGAUUGCGAAGGCAGCUCACUGGAGCGCAACUGACGCUGAAGCUCGAAAGUGCGUGUAUCGAACAGGAUUAGAUACCCUGGUAGUCCGCACGGUAAACGAUGGAUGCCCGCUGUUGGUCUGAAUAGGUCAGCGGCCAAGCGAAAGCAUUAAGCAUCCCACCUGGGGAGUACGCCGGCAACGGUGCAACUCAAAUGAAUUGACGG
RNAcentral lists this ribosomal RNA (924 nucleotides) under uncultured Bacteroidota bacterium. RNAcentral describes it as "bacterial SSU rRNA". It matches the Rfam family "Bacterial small subunit ribosomal RNA", at positions 1 to 916 of the family's 1533-position model. Lineage: Bacteria; Pseudomonadati; Bacteroidota. The record is from RNAcentral.